CUUUUAUUGAGAGUUUGAUCCUGGCUCAGGAUGAACGCUGGCGGCGUGCCUAACACAUGCAAGUCGAACGAAGCACCUGAAUGGAUUCCUCCGGGA
RNAcentral lists this ribosomal RNA (96 nucleotides) under [Clostridium] polysaccharolyticum. RNAcentral's name for it is "16S rRNA. Bacterial SSU". It matches the Rfam family "Bacterial small subunit ribosomal RNA", at positions 1 to 98 of the family's 1533-position model. The record is from RNAcentral. Lineage: Bacteria; Bacillati; Bacillota; Clostridia; Lachnospirales; Lachnospiraceae.